UUCAGGAUGGCCGAGUGGUCUAAGGCGCUGCGUUCAGGUCGCAGUCCACUUGUGUGGGUUUGAAUCCCACUUCUGACA
Non-coding RNA from Trichonephila clavipes, 78 nucleotides. The record is from the annotation of a GenBank genome assembly. NCBI's taxonomy places the organism in Eukaryota, Metazoa, Arthropoda, Arachnida, Araneae, Nephilidae.